Molecule: ribosomal RNA, 578 nt
Filed under: Acetobacteraceae bacterium AS3
Lineage: Bacteria; Pseudomonadati; Pseudomonadota; Alphaproteobacteria; Acetobacterales; Acetobacteraceae
Description: bacterial SSU rRNA
Rfam family: Bacterial small subunit ribosomal RNA
Source: RNAcentral
CUACGGGAGGCAGCAGUGGGGAAUAUUGGACAAUGGGGGGAACCCUGAUCCAGCAAUGCCGCGUGUGUGAAGAAGGUCUUCGGAUUGUAAAGCACUUUCACUAGGGAAGAUGAUGACGGUACCUAGAGAAGAAGCCCCGGCUAACUUCGUGCCAGCAGCCGCGGUAAUACGAAGGGGGCUAGCGUUGCUCGGAAUGACUGGGCGUAAAGGGCGCGUAGGCUGUUUGUACAGUCAGAUGUGAAAUCCCCGGGCUUAACCUGGGAACUGCAUUUGAUACGUGCAGACUAGAGUCCGAGAGAGGGUUGUGGAAUUCCCAGUGUAGAGGUGAAAUUCGUAGAUAUUGGGAAGAACACCGGUUGCGAAGGCGGCAACCUGGCUCGGAACUGACGCUGAGGCGCGAAAGCGUGGGGAGCGAACAGGAUUAGAUACCCUGGUAGUCCACGCUGUAAACGAUGUGUGCUGGAUGUUGGGUGAUUUUAUCAUUCAGUGUCNGAGCUAACGCGUUAAGCACACCGCCUGGGGAGUACGGCCGCAAGGUUGAAACUCAAAGGAAUUGACGGGGGCCCGCACAAGCGGUG